This 752-nucleotide ribosomal RNA is filed under the name uncultured bacterium. RNAcentral describes it as "bacterial SSU rRNA". It matches the Rfam family "Bacterial small subunit ribosomal RNA", at positions 8 to 796 of the family's 1533-position model. The record is from RNAcentral.
AGAGUUUGAUCAUGGCUCAGAACGAACGCUGGCGGCAGGCCUAACACAUGCAAGUCGAACGAGAAGCCACCUUCGGGUGGUGGACAGUGGCAGACGGGUGAGUAACGCGUGGGAACGUGCCUUUCGGUUCGGGAUAACCCAGGGAAACUUGGGCUAAUACCGGAUACGCCCUUCGGGGGAAAGAUUCAUCGCCGAAAGAUCGGCCCGCGUCGGAUUAGCUUGUUGGUGGGGUAAUGGCCUACCAAGGCGACGAUCCGUAGCUGGUCUGAGAGGAUGACCAGCCACACUGGGACUGAGACACGGCCCAGACUCCUACGGGAGGCAGCAGUGGGGAAUAUUGGACAAUGGGCGCAAGCCUGAUCCAGCCAUGCCGCGUGGGUGAAGAAGGCCUUAGGGUUGUAAACCCCUUUCAGCGGGGAAGAUAAUGACGGUACCCGCAGAAGAAGCCCCGGCUAACUCCGUGCCAGCAGCCGCGGUAAUACGGAGGGGGCUAGCGUUGUUCGGAAUUACUGGGCGUAAAGCGCGCGUAGGCGGGCCUGCAAGUCAGGGGUGAAAUCCCGAGGCUCAACCUCGGAACUGCCUUUGAUACUGCGGGUCUCGAGUCCGGGAGAGGUGAGUGGAAUUCCUAGUGUAGAGGUGAAAUUCGUAGAUAUUAGGAAGAACACCAGUGGCGAAGGCGGCUCACUGGCCCGGUACUGACGCUGAGGCGCGAAAGCGUGGGGAGCAAACAGGAUUAGAUACCCUAGUAGUCC